CCUACGGGGGGCAGCAGUGGGGAAUAUUGCGCAAUGGGCGAAAGCCUGACGCAGCGACGCCGCGUGAGGGAUGAAGGUCUUCGGAUCGGAAACCUCUGUCAGCAGGGAAGAACGGUCACUGUGCUAAUCAGCAGUGAAUUGACGGUACCUGCAAAGGAAGCACCGGCUAACUCCGUGCCAGCAGCCGCGGUAAUACGGAGGGUGCGAGCGUUAAUCGGAAUUACUGGGCGGAAAGCGCUCGUAGGCGGUAUGUCAAGUCAAGGGUGAAAUCCCCGCGCUCAACGUGGGAACUGCCUUUGAAACUGGCAAACUGGAGUGUGUGAGAGGAUAGUGGAAUUCCAGGUGUAGGGGUGAAAUCCGUAGAUAUCUGGAAGAACAUCGGUGGCGAAGGCGACUAUCUGGCACAUAACUGACGCUGAGGAUCGAAAGCGUGGGUAGCAAACAGGAUUAGAUACCCUAGUAGUC
Molecule: ribosomal RNA, 465 nt
Filed under: uncultured bacterium
Lineage: Bacteria
Description: partial 16S ribosomal RNA
Rfam family: Bacterial small subunit ribosomal RNA
Source: RNAcentral